This 402-nucleotide ribosomal RNA is filed under the name bacterium. RNAcentral's name for it is "partial 16S ribosomal RNA". It matches the Rfam family "Bacterial small subunit ribosomal RNA", at positions 355 to 776 of the family's 1533-position model. The record is from RNAcentral.
UGGGGAAUUUUGCACAAUGGGGGAAACCCUGAUGCAGCGACGCCGCGUGAUUUAGAAGGCCUUCGGGUUGUAAAAAUCUUUUCUAUGGGAAGAAAAUGACAGUACCAUAGGAAUAAGCACCUGCUAAUUACGUGCCAGCAGCCGCGGUAAUACGUAAGGUCCGAGCGUUGUCCGGAAUCAUUGGGCGUAAAGGGUACGUAGGCGGGUAAGCAAGUUAGAAGUGAAAUCCUAUAGCUCAACUAUAGUAAGCUUUUAAAACUGCUCAUCUUGAGGUAUGGAAGGGAAAGUGGAAUUCCUGGUGUAGCGGUGAGAUUCGCAGAUAUUAGGAGGAAUACCGGUGGCGAAGGCGAAUUUCUGGCCAUAGCCUGACGCUGAGGUACGAAAGCGUGGGUAGCAAACAGG